CCUACUUAACCCAGUGGUUAGAGUUUCAUACGGCGGGAGUCAUUGGUUCAAAUCCAAUAGUAGGUA
This 66-nucleotide transfer RNA is filed under the name Cymbidium nanulum. RNAcentral describes it as "tRNA-Met". It matches the Rfam family "tRNA". From Rfam's summary of the family: Transfer RNA (tRNA) molecules are approximately 80 nucleotides in length. Their secondary structure includes four short double-helical elements and three loops (D, anti-codon, and T loops). Further hydrogen bonds mediate the characteristic L-shaped molecular structure. tRNAs have two regions of fundamental functional importance: the anti-codon, which is responsible for specific mRNA codon recognition, and the 3' end, to which the tRNAs corresponding amino acid is attached (by aminoacyl-tRNA synthetases). tRNAs cope with the degeneracy of the genetic code in two manners: having more than one tRNA (with a specific anti-codon) for a particular amino acid; and 'wobble' base-pairing, i.e. permitting non-standard base-pairing at the 3rd anti-codon position. The record is from RNAcentral. Lineage: Eukaryota; Viridiplantae; Streptophyta; Magnoliopsida; Asparagales; Orchidaceae.